UACGUAGGCGUCCGAGCAAGUCAAUUGUUAAAUUCUUACAGCUUAACUGAAGGCAUGCAAUUGAAACUUCUUGGAUAGAGUUUGAGAGAGGAAAGUGGAAUUCCUGGUGGAGCGGUGACAUGCGUAGAUAUCAGGAGGAACACCAAAGGCGAAGGCAGCUUUCUGGCUCAAAACUGACGCUGAUGUACGAAAGCGUGGGAGCAAACA
This 207-nucleotide ribosomal RNA is filed under the name uncultured bacterium. Its description in RNAcentral is "partial 16S ribosomal RNA". It matches the Rfam family "Bacterial small subunit ribosomal RNA", at positions 568 to 774 of the family's 1533-position model. The record is from RNAcentral.